UUCCGGUUGAUCCUGCCGGACCUGAUUGCUAUCGGAUUGGUACUAAGCCAUGCGAGUAAGUGUAGCAAUACACUGCAGACGGCUCAGUAACACGUGGUCAAGCUAACCUAUGGACGUGGAUAACCUCGGGAAACUGAGAAUAAACCGCGAUAGAUCAUGAUGCCUGGAAUGGCUCAUGGUCGAAAUAGUUUACUGCCGUAGGAUGCGACUGCGGCCUAUCAGUUUGUUGGUGAGGUAAUGGCCCACCAAGACUAUUACAGGUACGGGCUCUGAGAGGAGAAGCCCGGAGAUGGGUACUGAGACACGGACCCAGGCCCUAUGGGGCGCAGCAGGCGAGAAACCUUAGCAAUGUGCGAAAGCACGACUGGGUUAGUCCGAGUGGUUCCUGCUAAAGGAAUCUUUUGCCGGUCCUAAAAGCACCGGUGAAUAAGGGGUGGGCAAGUCUGGUGUCAGCCGCCGCGGUAAUACCAGCACCUCGAGUGAUCAGGACGUUUAUUGGGCCUAAAGCAUCCGUAGCUGGCUUUGCAAGUCUCCGGUUAAAUCAACCUGCUCAACAGAUUGGCCGCUGGAGAUACUACAAGGCUAGGGAGUGGGAGAGGCAGACGGUAUUCGGGGGGUAGGGGUAAAAUCCUCUGAUCCUCUGAGGACCACCAGUGGCGAAGGCGGUCUGCCAGAACACGUUCGACAGCGAGGGAUGAAAGCUGGGGGAGCAAACCGGAUUAGAUACCCGGGUAGUCCCAGCUGUAAACGAUGCAAACUCGGUGAAGCAUUGGCUUAAUGCUAAUGCUGUGCCGCAGGGAAGCCGUUAAGUUUGCCGCCUGGGAAGUACGGUCGCAAGAUUGAAACUUAAAGGAAUUGGCGGGGGAGCACCACAAGGGGUGAAGCCUGCGGUUCAAUUGGAGUCAACGCCGGGA
Molecule: ribosomal RNA, 914 nt
Filed under: uncultured archaeon
Lineage: Archaea
Description: bacterial SSU rRNA
Rfam family: Archaeal small subunit ribosomal RNA
Source: RNAcentral